GAAUUCGCCCUUAGAGUUUGAUCCUGGCUCAGGACGAACGCUGGCGGCACGCUUAACACAUGCAAGUCGAACGAGAGAAGAGAAGCUUGCUUUUCUGAUCUAGUGGCGGACGGGUGAGUAACACGUGAGCAAUCUGCCUUUCAGAGGGGGAUACCGAUUGGAAACGAUCGUUAAUACCGCAUAAUAUAAUUGAACCGCAUGAUUUGGUUAUCAAAGAUUUAUCGCUGAAAGAUGAGCUCGCGUCUGAUUAGCUAGUUGGUAAGGUAACGGCUUACCAAGGCGACGAUCAGUAGCCGGACUGAGAGGGUGAUCGGCCACAUUGGAACUGAGAGACGGUCCAGACUCCUACGGGAGGCAGCAGUGGGGAAUAUUGGGCAAUGGGCGAAAGCCUGACCCAGCAACGCCGCGUGAGGGAAGAAGGGUUUCGGCUCGUAAACCUCUGUCCUAUGGGACGAAGGAAGUGACGGUACCAUAGGAGGAAGCCCCGGCUAACUACGUGCCAGCAGCCGCGGUAAUACGUAGGGGGCGAGCGUUGUCCGGAAUGAUUGGGCGUAAAGGGCGCGUAGGCGGCCUGCUAAGUCUGGAGUGAAAGUCCUGCUUUCAAGGUGGGAAUUGCUUUGGAUACUGGUGGGCUGGAGUGCAGGAGAGGAAAGCGGAAUUACCGGUGUAGCGGUGAAAUGCGUAGAGAUCGGUAGGAACACCAGUGGCGAAGGCGGCCUACUGGGCACCAACUGACGCUGAGGCUCGAAAGUGUGGGUAGCAAACAGGAUUAGAUACCCUGGUAGUCCACACCGUAAACGAUGAUUACUAGGUGUUGGAGGAUUGACCCCUUCAGUGCCGCAGUUAACACAAUAAGUAAUCCACCUGGGGAGUACGACCGCAAGGUUGAAACUCAAAGGAAUUGACGGGGGCCCGCACAAGCAGUGGAGUAUGUGGUUUAAUUCGACGCAACGCGAAGAACCUUACCAAGUCUUGACAUCCUGCGACGGUGCUGGAAACAGUACUUUCCUUCGGGACGCAGAGACAGGUGGUGCAUGGUUGUCGUCAGCUCGUGUCGUGAGAUGUUGGGUUAAGUCCCGCAACGAGCGCAACCCUUAUGGUCAGUUACUACGCAAGAGGACUCUGGCCAGACUGCCGUUGACAAAACGGAGGAAGGUGGGGAUGACGUCAAAUCAUCAUGCCCUUUAUGACUUGGGCUACACACGUACUACAAUGGCGUUAAACAAAGAGAAGCAAGACCGCGAGGUGGAGCAAAACUCAGAAACAACGUCCCAGUUCGGACUGCAGGCUGCAACUCGCCUGCACGAAGUCGGAAUUGCUAGUAAUCGCAGAUCAGCAUGCUGCGGUGAAUACGUUCCCGGGCCUUGCACACACCGCCCGUCA
Molecule: ribosomal RNA, 1383 nt
Filed under: uncultured bacterium
Lineage: Bacteria
Description: partial 16S ribosomal RNA
Rfam family: Bacterial small subunit ribosomal RNA
Source: RNAcentral